Molecule: ribosomal RNA, 253 nt
Filed under: uncultured bacterium
Lineage: Bacteria
Description: partial 16S ribosomal RNA
Rfam family: Bacterial small subunit ribosomal RNA
Source: RNAcentral
UACGUAGGGCGCAAGCGUUAUCCGGAAUUAUUGGGCGUAAAGAGCUCGUAGGCGGUUUGUCGCGUCUGCCGUGAAAGUCCGGGGCUCAACUCCGGAUCUGCGGUGGGUACGGGCAGACUAGAGUGAUGUGGGGGAGACUGGAAUUCCUGGUGUAGCGGUGAAAUGCGCAGAUAUCAGGAGGAACACCGGUGGCGAAGGCGGAUCUCUGGGCCUUACCUGACGCUCAGGCGCGAAAGCUAGGGGAGCGAACAGG